Molecule: unclassified non-coding RNA, 202 nt
Filed under: uncultured fungus
Lineage: Eukaryota; Fungi
Description: sequence contains ITS1
Source: RNAcentral
GUUUUGAUUUUAUAUCGUAUUUAACAUUCAGAGACAGGCGUGUGUAGGAAAAAGGCGGGCGCUUUCGCGUCCGAAAUGUGCACAGGUGUGAGAAUCACGUGUUGGAACCAGACGUGCAGCCGAGGCGCACAGUCCAGAGCCAAUAUGUGUGGCGCGAGCGCCGUUUUCACUAAUGAUCCUUCCGCAGGUUCACCUACGGAAA